This 494-nucleotide ribosomal RNA is filed under the name uncultured bacterium. RNAcentral describes it as "partial 16S ribosomal RNA". It matches the Rfam family "Bacterial small subunit ribosomal RNA", at positions 28 to 507 of the family's 1533-position model. The record is from RNAcentral.
GACGAACGCUGGCGGCGCGCUUAACACAUGCAAGUCGAACGGAAAGGCCUGCUUUCCCUUGUGGAUUGCGGGUACUCGAGUGGCGAACGGGUGAGUAACACGUGAGUGAUCUGCCCCCAACUUGGGUAUAAGCCCGGGAAACUGGGUCUAAUUCCCGAUAGGACUGCAGGGUGGUGCCUGUGGUGGAAAACGAUUUUCUAGUGGUUGGGGAUGAGCUCGCGGCCUAUCAGCUUGUUGGUGGGGUAAUGGCCUACCAAGGCGGCGACGGGUAGCCGGCCUGAGAGGGUGGACGGACACAUUGGGACUGAGAUACGGCCCAGACUCCUACGGGAGGCAGCAGUGAGGAAGAUUGCACAAUGGGCGGAAGCCUGAUGCAGCGACGCCGCGUGGGGGAUGACGGCCUUCGGGUUGUAAACUCCUUUCGACCGCGAGGAAGCCACCUGGUUGGAAGGGUGGUGACGGUAGUGGUAGAAGAAGCACCGGCUAACUACGUG